This 565-nucleotide ribosomal RNA is filed under the name Ogataea sonorensis. RNAcentral's name for it is "eukaryotic LSU rRNA". It matches the Rfam family "Eukaryotic large subunit ribosomal RNA", at positions 62 to 648 of the family's 3401-position model. Lineage: Eukaryota; Fungi; Ascomycota; Pichiomycetes; Pichiales; Pichiaceae. The record is from RNAcentral.
AAACCAACAGGGAUUGCCUUAGUAGCGGCGAGUGAAGCGGCAAGAGCUCAAAUUUGAAAUCUGGUACCUUCGGUGCCCGAGUUGUAAUUUGAAGAAAGCUAUCUUGGAUUUGGCCUUUGUCUAUGUUCCUUGGAACAGGACGUCACAGAGGGUGAGAAUCCCGUGCGAUGAGGUGUCCAUUUCUAUGUAAGAUGUUUUCGAAGAGUCGAGUUGUUUGGGAAUGCAGCUCUAAGUGGGUGGUAAAUUCCAUCUAAAGCUAAAUAUUGGCGAGAGACCGAUAGCGAACAAGUACAGUGAUGGAAAGAUGAAAAGAACUUUGAAAAGAGAGUGAAAAAGUACGUGAAAUUGUUGAAAGGGAAGGGUAUUAGAUCAGACUUGGUAUUUAGUUAUCAUUACUCCUUGUGGGUGGUGCUCUAGCUUUUUACUGGGCCAGCAUCAGUUUUGGUGACAGGAUAAUAGCAAUUGAAUGUGGCUCUUCGGAGUGUUAUAGCUUUUGUUGAUACUGUCUACUGGGACUGAGGUCUGCGGCUUUGCCUAGGAUGCUGGCGUAAUGAUCCAAUACCGC